GAUGAAGAACGUAGCGAAAUGCGAUAAGUAAUGUGAAUUGCAGAAUUCAGUGAAUCAUCGAGUCUUUGAACGCACAUUGCGCCCCCUGGUAUUCCGGGGGGCAUGCCUGUCCGAGCGUCAUUGCUGCCCUCAAGCACGGCUUGUGUGUUGGGCCGUCGUCCCCCUCCUAGGGGACGGGCCCGAAAGGCAGCGGCGGCACCGCGUCCGGUCCUCGAGCGUAUGGGGCUUCGUCACCCGCUCCGUAGGCCCGGCCGGCGCUUGCCGACGACCAUCAAUCUCUUUCUCCAGGUUGACCUCGGAUCAGGUAGGGAUACCCGCUGAACUUAAGCAUAUCAAUAACGGAGGA
Molecule: unclassified non-coding RNA, 346 nt
Filed under: soil metagenome
Description: partial contains 5.8S ribosomal RNA, internal transcribed spacer 2, and large subunit ribosomal RNA
Rfam family: 5.8S ribosomal RNA (bases 1-120)
Source: RNAcentral